CACGUAGGGCGCAAGCGUUGUCCGGAAUUAUUGGGCGUAAAGAGCUCGUAGGCGGUCUGUUACGUCUGCUGUGAAAACCCGGGGCUUAACCCUGGGCUUGCAGUGGAUACGGGCAGACUAGAGGCAGGUAAGGGAGAAUGGAAUUCCCGGUGUAGCGGUGAAAUGCGCAGAUAUCGGGAGGAACACCGGUGGCGAAGGCGGUUCUCUGGGCCUGACCUGACGCUGAGGAGCGAAAGCGUGGGGAGCGAACAGG
RNAcentral lists this ribosomal RNA (253 nucleotides) under uncultured bacterium. RNAcentral describes it as "partial 16S ribosomal RNA". It matches the Rfam family "Bacterial small subunit ribosomal RNA", at positions 524 to 776 of the family's 1533-position model. The record is from RNAcentral.